ACUCCUACGGAAGGCAGCAGUGAGGAAUAUUGCGCAAUGGGGGCAACCCUGACGCAGCGACGCCGCGUGAGUGAGGAAGGCCUUCGGGUCGUAAAGCUCUGUCAAAGGGAAAGAAGUGCAUGGUGGCUAAUACCUGCCAUGUUUGACGGUACCCUUAAAGGAAGCACCGGCUAACUCCGUGCCAGCAGCCGCGGUAAU
This 198-nucleotide ribosomal RNA is filed under the name uncultured bacterium. Its description in RNAcentral is "partial 16S ribosomal RNA". It matches the Rfam family "Bacterial small subunit ribosomal RNA", at positions 335 to 524 of the family's 1533-position model. The record is from RNAcentral.